Carica papaya (papaya) is the source of this 339-nucleotide non-coding RNA. Lineage: Eukaryota; Viridiplantae; Streptophyta; Magnoliopsida; Brassicales; Caricaceae. The record is from RefSeq and is a predicted model, not a curated record.
CACCAACAACAACAUUGAUAAGGUCGAGUCUAGCAUCAGCAAGUACAAUGAGGCAUAUUGUCAAUUGGACAAGCUUGAUUUCACGACUGCUGCUAAGAUACUUUUCACUGGUCCGCCAAAGGAAAAGAAGUUUGGGUAAUGGGUCUGAUCCUCCACAUGCCCCACCACAACCUCCCACCAUGUAAGAAAUUAUCAAUAAAACCAAAUCAAUUUUAGGAAUUUGGUACAUAAUUGUGGAGGAACGUUCGAAAACCAUAUUAACAUAAUACGGAAAUAUCUUACUAUAUAUUCCCGUAUAAAAAUUAUUAUUUUUUUAAUGUUAUAAUUAAUAUUUAUUUA